Molecule: small nucleolar RNA, 128 nt
Organism: Capra hircus (goat)
Lineage: Eukaryota; Metazoa; Chordata; Mammalia; Artiodactyla; Bovidae
Source: Ensembl
AGGUCUUUUCAAAGAGGGGCCGAUGGGACCAAAUCCAGGAGCCCCGAAUGAUGCGACCAAAGAUUGAGUCCUCCGUUGGAUCUAACAGUCACUCGAGAGUGCCAUCGUUUCCCGAUAGAGAUACAAGC